GAUGAACGCUGGCGGCGUGCCUAAUACAUGCAAGUCGAGCGAACAGACGAGGAGCUUGCUCCUCUGACGUUAGCGGCGGACGGGUGAGUAACACGUGGAUAACCUACCUAUAAGACUGGGAUAACUUCGGGAAACCGGAGCUAAUACCGGAUAAUAUAUUGAACCGCAUGGUUCAAUAGUGAAAGACGGUUUUGCUGUCACUUAUAGAUGGAUCCGCGCCGCAUUAGCUAGUUGUUAAGGUAACGGCUUACCAAGGCAACGAUGCGUAGCCGACCUGAGAGGGUGAUCGGCCACACUGGAACUGAGACACGGUCCAGACUCCUACGGGAGGCAGCAGUAGGGAAUCUUACGCAAUGGGCGAAAGCCUGACGGAGCAACGCCGCGUGAGUGAUGAAGGUCUUCGGAUCGUAAAACUCUGUUAUUAGGGAAGAACAAAUGUGUAAGUAACUAUGCACGUCUUGACGGUACCUAAUCAGAAAGCCACGGCUAACUACGUG
This 497-nucleotide ribosomal RNA is filed under the name uncultured bacterium. RNAcentral's name for it is "partial 16S ribosomal RNA". It matches the Rfam family "Bacterial small subunit ribosomal RNA", at positions 28 to 507 of the family's 1533-position model. The record is from RNAcentral.